This 252-nucleotide ribosomal RNA is filed under the name uncultured bacterium. Its description in RNAcentral is "partial 16S ribosomal RNA". It matches the Rfam family "Bacterial small subunit ribosomal RNA", at positions 524 to 776 of the family's 1533-position model. The record is from RNAcentral.
UACGUAGGGGGCAAGCGUUGUCCGGAAUUAUUGGGCGUAAAGCGCGCGCAGGCGGUUGUUUAAGUCUGGUGUAUAAACCAAGGGCUCAACCUUUGGACGCAUUGGAAACUGGGCAACUGGAGUGUAGGAGAGGAAAGUGGAAUUCCACGUGUAGCGGUGAAAUGCGCAGAUAUCAGGAAGAACACCCGUGGCUAAGGCGGCUCUCUAGUACGGUACUGACGCUGAGACGCGAAAGCGUGGGGAGCGAACAGG